RNAcentral lists this long non-coding RNA (3696 nucleotides) under Lathyrus oleraceus (garden pea). RNAcentral's name for it is "Pisum sativum (pea) long non-coding RNA (PSAT_LNC034247)". The record is from RNAcentral. Lineage: Eukaryota; Viridiplantae; Streptophyta; Magnoliopsida; Fabales; Fabaceae.
GGAAUUUUCUUGCAUUUCAAGGUACAUGGAUGAUCAUAUGAUCUCAAAAUAAGGUGUGCUUUAAUGUCUCUUGAUUGAAUUGCUCGAUGUUUGAGGUAACUUUUCGAAGAAGGCAUGGAAAUAAACACAUGAACCUUUGACUUUCUUUGAGAAAUAAGCCACAAAACUUUGAGAUACUCUUGAUCAAAAUGAGAUUGAAAGAUGCUUGAGAACGUUAGAGGUCAUGCUUUGAGAGAUAAGCCCCUUGAAAAUAAAUGGUUAAACACACUUUGACAUGAGGAAUCAACAAAAUCCUAGCUGAGGAGCCAUGAUUGAUGCUCUUGAUGAAAAACCAUACCUCACACAAUAAACAUACUUUGCUCUUCUUUUUGUCAGCUUCCAAUUUUUUAGCGGCUUUCUCGUCGAACACAGCGCUACACUUUGGACAUAGAAUCGCUUUUGACCCACUUAGUUUGCACUUCUCUUGGAAAUCUGUUAGGUUUUCACUUGCUUGGGGAUAAGCUGAUUCCAGUUCCUCUUCAUCUCUCAUGUCGAAUCCAUCAGUAGUUUAAACCAUUAAUACUUCAAAAGAUUCAUCUAGAGAAACAACAUCUAGAUACUCCAUGAGACCAUCAGUAGUCUCCAUCAUCAUGCAUUCAAGAGGUUUAGAGUACAAGGCUUCUUCAAGCUUCAGAGGAUCAGAGUCCACUUGCAUCUUUGGCCUUUCGCCAAAUUGAAGCCUUCCUUCUUUCCACGCUUUUUACACCAAGUCCCUAAAAAUAACACAUUGAUAAGUUUUAUGACCAAGAAAGUUAUGAAACUCACAAAAUCCCUUUUUCUUUUUCUGUUCUAUAGGGGGGUCCUUUAAACCCUGAGGAACAAUGAUUUGACCAUCUUUAACCAAUAAAUCAAAUAUCUCGUCACACUUAGACACAUCUAACGUGUAAGUUUUAGCAACUUAUUUAUCUAUUUUUUCGGCUUCAAUUGGAUUUUUUACCCAUUCGAUGGUUUUAAUAGUUUACAUGUGUAAGGAGGUCCAGGCUUGAGUUCAACCAUGUUGACCUCGCUUUCAUCGACAAACUCUUCAUCGUCAUAAGAGUAUUCCUCAACUGCUAUGUAAGACACUUUCUCUUUCUUAUGGUAUCAAUCAGUCUUGGUCUUUUCAGCUUUCAGGCGUUCGAUGUGUCGAACUCUGUCAGCUAAUUGCACCAUAUCCCUCAGAUACUGGGUAUCCAGCUUCUUUAUGAUAGAAUAUUCUAAACCACCUGCGACUAUCUUGACUAACUCGUGCUCAGGAACUUGAGUAAAGCAUCUAGCCUUCAACCAUCUAAACCUGUUGAGGUAUUGAUCAACUGACUUAGCGGUCUUUCGUUUGAUGUUGGCUAGUUCUUUUAGACUUAUUUUCGACUGUCCCAUGUAAUGUUCAUGGAACAAUCUCUCUAACAUCGUCCAUGUUUGAAUAGAUUGUGGAGGUAGCAUCGUAAACCAUGUGAACACAUUUUUUGUAAGAGAACUUGGAAAUUAUUUCAACUUCAAAUCCUCAUUAUUUGAUAUGUCUCCAGCUUCGGUUUAAUAUCUGGCAACAUGUUCAACGGUAGAUUCUUCAGUAUAUCCAGUGAACUUGGUGAAUUUUGGAACCUUCCACCCCCUAGGAAAUUCUGUUUGUAAAACAAAAUCUGGUAAAGGGGAAGAGCAUGUCGACCUUUGUAGGUAUGGGUUUAUUCUAUUUCUCACUAUGAUCCGUUCAACAAUAAGCUCUAAGUUUUGCUCCCCAACCGUUGCCUCUUGUCGAAUCUGCUUGACCACAUGGUCGGGAUCCCGGUUCCUAUCAAUUAAUACAACGGGAGGCCUUCGAGCCACCCUAGGAAUUUGUUCGACUUCCUGGUAUUCUUGUUUGACCAUUUCGUCUAGCAUCUCUUCUUGUCGGCCCGGGGUUUCUGGUCGAGGUGGAGGUGGGGGAGUCUGACGAACUUGCGCUCUAGAAGCCCCUAGGAAAUUCCUUAUUAUGGUCACCUGAGUUGCCAGUUGUUGGUAACUCUGGGUCGAAUCCUGAAUUAAAGGUCUCAGUAUGGUGUCUAGUUGAUGAGUCAGCAUGUGGACCAUUUCAAGAUUACUUUCAUCCAUCUGAUGUCUCAUGACCGCGACAAAACUUGAUGUGAAAGUUGGGACUGACUGAGAUGACAAUCCAAAACCUGGGGGUCGACCAAAUUAGUUUGUCGAUGGUCCUAACCCCUGGUAGCGUGAGAAUGGAGACGAUGAUGUUUCGCUGAAUGUCGAAUCGAUAUUAUGCAUACUUUCCAUAAACCCAGUUGGCAUUCCUAACAUUUUGUGCAUGAGGACUGUAAAAUUGGGCAUAUAUUGCCCUGAAGUUCCUAUCGUCAUCGACGUCGGAGUUUGAGGCUAAUGUGGUGUUAGAAUUGGUCCAUUAUUUUCAGUCGAGACCGUAGGUAUAGUGUCGGAACCAACAUCGGUUGUUUGUGACGCGACUGUGUCUCCCCCCGAAGAUGUUUCUUCGUGUGGUCAUGGUGACACCAUCUUUCCACUCCGUUGUUACAUAUACUGAACACAACGUGUUCCACCAGAUGUGCCAAUUUAUUUACGCAAAAAUCUCUAGCCUUCCUAUCGAUGUUUACUUGCAGGGUCGGCUACAAAGUCCUAGACUGAUAUGUGUUAAGUAUAUGGUGGUUUUGUUGGUAAAGUGUUUGGAAUACUAGAACAAUAAGUGAAAUGUUUGCAAAAUAGAGAAAUGCAGUAACAGUAAGAAAGGAUAAAAACAAGAUAAAUAUGUAAAUGAACAAAGCAAAUGAAAAUAACUUGACAAGUUAAAUGGUUUGAAAAUAAAGGUGGAAGCAGAAGUACAUUUUGGCAGGAAGUUAACUUUUUUCUCUUAAACGCUUGAUACUUCAAGUGUUUUCCUAUUAUAAAGCUACCAAUACCAUCCUCCUGGAAUGAAAAUCACAUCUACUUAAAUAGUAAAUAAAAUAACUGUUGGGAGGUCAUGAUGCAUUUAUGAUGCGCCACGUGUCGGAGCCUAUCACCCAUGUUGCUGGUAACUUCCCACUUUCUGCUUCCCACAAUCAGUUCCCAUUAUGGUACGCUUACCUUUGACUUCGACAGAAAACUUGUAUAGUGAAUCAUAAAUUACAUUAUGAAAAAGGAAUCAACCUUAAAUUUUGAAAAUUGAAGAAGUUGUGAAUCUUGAAAGUCGAGAAAAGUCACUUGAAAAUAGGUCAAAUUUCACCAUGUCCACAAAUGACCUAUAAUGUCUCCAAACUUUUGAUGAUCCUCCAAGCAUAAUUUGUUCUUGUCAUGUAAAGAGAAGUUGUAGAGGAUAUUGAGAAGAUUCAUAUGCAAAAAGAAGCAUUUAAAAAUGUUGAGAAUUUAAGGAGUUGUGAUCCUUUAAACUUAGACUUCAAAUGCUGACUUUUUGGUCAAACCUAUUGGAAUAAACUUGUGUACUUGGACUUUUCUUUCAUUUCAAGGUACAUGGAUGAUCAUAUGAUCUCAAAAUAAGGCAUCUUUUAAUGUCUUUUGAUUGAAUUUCUCAAGGUUUGAGGUAACUUGUUGAAGAAGGCAUGGAAAUAAACACAUGAACCUUUGACUUUUCUUGAGAGAUAAACCACAAAACUUUGAGAUACUCUUGAUCAAAAUGAGAUUGAAAGAUGUUUGAGAACUUUAGAGAUCAUGCUUUGAGAGAUAAGCCCCUUGAGAAUCAAU